This 413-nucleotide ribosomal RNA is filed under the name Typhlamphiascus sp. H_107278. RNAcentral describes it as "SSU rRNA". It matches the Rfam family "Eukaryotic small subunit ribosomal RNA", at positions 567 to 979 of the family's 1831-position model. Lineage: Eukaryota; Metazoa; Arthropoda; Copepoda; Harpacticoida; Miraciidae. The record is from RNAcentral.
CCAGCACCUGCGGUAAUUCCAGCUCCAAUAGCAUAUGUUAAUGUUGUUGCGGUUAAAAAGCUCGUAGUUGGAUCUCGGCGGGUCGGGGGCGGUUCGCUCUCUGGCGUGACUGCCCCAUUGACCCGUGGUUUUUGGCGGAGGUCGCCGGGUGCUCUUGACCGAGUGUCCUGCGGCGCCGUCAGGUUUACUUUGAAAAAAUUAGAGUGCUCCAGGCAGGCUUGACACGCUUGAAUAGUCGUGCAUGGAAUGAUGGAAUAGGACGUCGUUUCUAUUUUGUUGGUUUUCGGAAAUCGACGUAAUGAUUGAUAGGGACAGUCGGGGGCAUUAGUAUUCAGGCGACAGAGGUGAAAUUCUUGGACCGUCUGAAGACUCACUACUGCGAAAGCAUUUGCCAAGAAUGUUUUCAUUAAUCA